Molecule: ribosomal RNA, 403 nt
Filed under: uncultured bacterium
Lineage: Bacteria
Description: bacterial SSU rRNA
Rfam family: Bacterial small subunit ribosomal RNA
Source: RNAcentral
UGGGGAAUAUUGGACAAUGGGCGCAAGCCUGAUCCAGCCAUGCCGCGUGAGUGAUGAAGGCCUUAGGGUUGUAAAGCUCUUUUACCAGGGAAGAUAAUGACGGUACCUGGAGAAUAAGCCCCGGCUAACUUCGUGCCAGCAGCCGCGGUAAUACGAAGGGGGCUAGCGUUGCUCGGAAUCACUGGGCGUAAAGCGCACGUAGGUGGGUCGUUAAGUCAGGGGUGAAAUCCCGGAGCUCAACUCCGGAACUGCCUUUGAUACUGGCGACCUUGGAGUCCGGGAGAGGUAAGUGGAACUGCGAGUGUAGAGGUGAAAUUCGUAGAUAUUCGCAAGAACACCAGUGGCGAAGGCGGCUCACUGGCCCGGUACUGACACUGAGGUGCGAAAGCGUGGGGAGCAAACA